CCUACGGGUGGCAGCAGUGAGGAAUAUUGGUCAAUGGACGAGAGUCUGAACCAGCCAAGUAGCGUGAAGGAUGACUGCCCUAUGGGUUGUAAACUUCUUUUAUAUAGGAAUAAAACGAGGCACGUGUGCCUUUUUGUAUGUACUUUAUGAAUAAGGAUCGGCUAACUCCGUGCCAGCGGCCGCGGUAAUACGGAGGAUCCGAGCGUUAUCCGGAUUUAUUGGGUUUAAAGGGAGCGUAGAUGGGUUGUUAAGUCAGUUGUGAAAGUUUGCGGCUCAACCGUAAAAUUGCAAUUGAUACUGGCAGUCUUGAGUACAGUUGAGGUGGGCGGAAUUCGUGGUGUAGCGGUGAAAUGCUUAGAUAUCACGAAGAACCCCGAUUGCGAAGGCAGCUUACUAAACUGUGACUGACAUUGAUGCUCGAAAGUGUGGGUAUCAAACAGGAUUAGAUACCCGGGUAGUC
RNAcentral lists this ribosomal RNA (460 nucleotides) under uncultured bacterium. RNAcentral's name for it is "partial 16S ribosomal RNA". It matches the Rfam family "Bacterial small subunit ribosomal RNA", at positions 338 to 795 of the family's 1533-position model. The record is from RNAcentral.